ACAUGUCCGCAUGAUUAAAGGUAUUUUCCGGUAGACGAUGGGGAUGCGUUCCAUUAGAUAGUAGGCGGGGUAACGGCCCACCUAGUCAACGAUGGAUAGGGGUUCUGAGAGGAAGGUCCCCCACAUUGGAACUGAGACACGGUCCAAACUCCUACGGGAGGCAGCAGUGAGGAAUAUUGGUCAAUGGGCGAUGGCCUGAACCAGCCAAGUAGCGUGAAGGAUGACUGCCCUAUGGGUUGUAAACUUCUUUUAUAAAGGAAUAAAGUCGGGUAUGCAUACCCGUUUGCAUGUACUUUAUGAAUAAGGAUCGGCUAACUCCGUGCCAGCAGCCGCGGUAAUACGGAGGAUCCGAGCGUUAUCCGGAUUUAUUGGGUUUAAAGGGAGCGUAGAUGGAUGUUUAAGUCAGUUGUGAAAGUUUGCGGCUCAACCGUAAAAUUGCAGUUGAUACUGGAUGUCUUGAGUGCAGUUGAGGCAGGCGGAAUUCGUGGUGUAGCGGUGAAAUGCUUAGAUAUCACGAAGAACUCCGAUUGCGAAGGCAGCCUGCUAAGCUGCAACUGACAUUGAGGCUCGGAAGUGUGGGUAUCAAACAGGAUUAGAUACCCUGGUAGUCCACACAGUAAACGAUGAAUACUCGCUGUUUGCGAUAUACGGCAAGCGGCC
This 660-nucleotide ribosomal RNA is filed under the name uncultured bacterium. RNAcentral describes it as "bacterial SSU rRNA". It matches the Rfam family "Bacterial small subunit ribosomal RNA", at positions 187 to 848 of the family's 1533-position model. The record is from RNAcentral.